RNAcentral lists this ribosomal RNA (253 nucleotides) under uncultured bacterium. Its description in RNAcentral is "partial 16S ribosomal RNA". It matches the Rfam family "Bacterial small subunit ribosomal RNA", at positions 524 to 776 of the family's 1533-position model. The record is from RNAcentral.
UACAGAGGGGGCAAGCGUUGUUCGGAAUUACUGGGCGUAAAGGGCGCGUAGGCGGCCUGUUAAGUCGGACGUGAAAUCCCUCGGCUCAACCGGGGAACUGCGUCCGAUACUGGCGGGCUUGAAUUCGGGAGAGGGAUGUGGAAUUCCAGGUGUAGCGGUGAAAUGCGUAGAUAUCUGGAGGAACACCGGUGGCGAAGGCGCCGCUCUGGGCCGUAACUGACGCUGAGGAGCGAAAGCAUGGGUAGCAAACAGG